CCCUUAGAUGUUCUGGGCAGCACGCGCGCUACAAUGGUCUUCGCAAACGGAUGCAUUCUCGAAGGAGAAUGCCAAUCUUGGAAUCUAUCCCUUGGUCGGGACAGUUGCUUGCAAUUUUUCGACUCGAACCAGGAAUUCCUUGUAAUCGUGAUUCAUCACAUCACGAUGAAUACGUCCCUGCCCUUUGUACACACCGCCCGUCGCUCCUACCGAUCGAAGAGUUAGGUGAAUUGUUUUGAUCGAUAAGAUUUGACUAUGGUCAACUCUCGUUGUGAAAUUCUGUGAAUCUGACUGUUUAGAGGAAGGAAAAGUCGUAACA
This 319-nucleotide ribosomal RNA is filed under the name uncultured eukaryote. Its description in RNAcentral is "partial 18S ribosomal RNA". It matches the Rfam family "Eukaryotic small subunit ribosomal RNA", at positions 1470 to 1796 of the family's 1831-position model. The record is from RNAcentral.